Molecule: transfer RNA, 82 nt
Filed under: Felis catus (domestic cat)
Lineage: Eukaryota; Metazoa; Chordata; Mammalia; Carnivora; Felidae
Also listed under: 2 other names
Rfam family: tRNA
About the family: Transfer RNA (tRNA) molecules are approximately 80 nucleotides in length. Their secondary structure includes four short double-helical elements and three loops (D, anti-codon, and T loops).
Source: Rfam by way of RNAcentral
GCUCAGUCGGUUGAGCGUCCAACUCUUGAUUUCAGCUCAGGUCAUGAUCUCAGGGUUGUGGGAUCAAACCCCACAUUGGGCU